CAGAAUUGAACGAUUCUCAGCAAUCGAGUCGUUCACUUGACUCCCUUAGACGCUAUGCGGUGCAAUAGAUUUAAAAGAACGAACGACUCAGAUUGGAAGAAAUAAGAGGACCCACUGUAUCCAGCAGGGGCAGCUGAUGAUGUGGAGUUUUUCCACUUUGUCUAUGGACCUCAGGAUUUGGGAGACUGGGAGGCAAAAUGAAUCAAAAUAACUGAGCAGAGUCUGCAGGCGCGAGCACGUCCAGUGUUGUGAAUCUUCAUUAAGGUCAAGGUCGGAGCUGAAAGAAUUAAAGCUAUGUGUUUGUCUCAAGGUUGGACUGGUUAUUGCCCUUGUCUUUUUAUUAGUUCUACUGGCCCGCCUGCAGACCCAGCCUGGGGAAUCCACCUAAGUUUUCUUUUGUUUCUGUAGUUUAAUAUUCUUUAAAUAAAUAAACUAAGUUGUCU
Molecule: long non-coding RNA, 443 nt
Organism: Clarias gariepinus (North African catfish)
Lineage: Eukaryota; Metazoa; Chordata; Actinopteri; Siluriformes; Clariidae
Exons: 3
Source: RefSeq, a predicted model, not a curated record